This 336-nucleotide unclassified non-coding RNA is filed under the name uncultured fungus. Its description in RNAcentral is "sequence contains ITS1". The stretch from base 1 to 107 matches the Rfam family "5.8S ribosomal RNA", at positions 50 to 154 of the family's 154-position model. Lineage: Eukaryota; Fungi. The record is from RNAcentral.
AAAAUGCGAUACUUGGUGUGAAUUGCAGAAUCCCGUGAACCAUCGAGUUUUUGAACACAAGUUGCGCCCGAAGCCUUUUGGCCGAGGGCACGUCUGCCUGGGCGUCACGCAUCGCGUCGCCUCCCACAACUCUCCGUAAAAGGAACUCGUGUUUUGGGGGCGGAUAUUGGUCUCCCGUGCUCAUGGCGUGGUUGGCCGAAAUAGGAGUCCCUUCGAUGGACGCACGAACUAGUGGUGGUCGUAAAAACCCUCGUCCUAAGAAAACCCCAACGUGUCGUCUUUUUACGGCGCUUCGACCGCGACCCCAGGUCAGGCGGGACUACCCGCUGAGUUUAA